Molecule: long non-coding RNA, 1303 nt
Filed under: Homo sapiens (human)
Lineage: Eukaryota; Metazoa; Chordata; Mammalia; Primates; Hominidae
Description: HSALNT0289606
Source: RNAcentral
CGCCGGGCGCAGCAAGGGCCAGACUCUGCGCUAGCAGGCGCUGCGCGCCAACCGGCCGGCACCUGUCGCAGAAGGUGCAACCGAUCGCACUGUCGCGCAGAAGCUCCUCAAUGGCCAGCGCCAGCUGCAGCCCCGGCCGCCCACUCGCCUCAUCUGAGCCUGGGCAAAUCUGGAUUGGGAAAGUUGACAUUAAUCAACUCAUUAUUCCUCACAGAUUUGUAUUCUCCAGAGUAUCCAGGUCCUUCUCAGAGAAUUAAAAAGCCUGUACAGCGCUGCUCUAAGCUGUUGAUGAAAAAUAUUGUUGGUGAGCUCUGCUUAGGUAAUAUAUAGGACAUGAGCAGAGAGGAGGCACGUGAACAGUUCUGGCCUGGAGUAGGCUUCAUUGAGGCUGUGAUGCUUUUAGCUGGAUUUGAAGAAGUGGUAGUGAUCAUCCCAGUGCACAGGAUAGGUGGACAGUCUAUGUAUUCUGAGCAGUAACUCAUAUAUCUCAUACUGCAAGACCCCAAAGGAGUAAUUUUGUGAACUCUGUUCACGGAAAGGGCCUGGGAGCUGCAACACCUCAACAGCAACAAGCACACCUGCUACCUAGAACUUGGUUUCUAAAAACCAUCCUCCUCUAAAAGGAAACAGAGCUCUUUGAAGAAACGCAGAAGGUAAGCAUGAGCAAAUUACUUUUUAGAGGUAACUUUGCUGAACUUGUGAAGAAUGGUGUGCAAGGUCCAGAGCGACUGCAGGAGAGGGAAGGUGGGAUUCCCACAGAGCAGGAGCACAGAUAAGCCAAGCAAGGCCCUGCUUGGAAGGCAGCAAUCAACAGAGAUGCACAGACCUGUGAGGGUGCCGGGACAGCCAUGCAACAAUGCAGCCCUUUUGCUUCCUGAGCUCACCAGUUCCCUCGCUCCACCUCUGAGAGGUGGUUUGGAGAAACACAGCCCUUCUCAAGAGGGCUGCAAGCUACUUAAGUCCUGAAAAUUUCCACAAGGCUGAGUCAAAUCUGCGUUUCAUCAUCUAUAAGAAAGGUACCUAUCGAGAACACCCUGCUGGCCAGUGUGUAAAUAUCUAAAGGAGGACUCAGAAAACACCGGGGAAGUCCAGCCUGCACGUGGUGGCUGGGCUUCAGUGAAGCAUGCAGCACAACAGGAGUUGUAAGUAGUAGUUACAUCAGCAGCCCUGGAAAUUCUGCUCAGAACCAAACUGAACAAAUAACAUUAUCUAAGGCUUACAAUUAUUUAACUCCCUAAAUUUUCUGUCCUCCCAGUAGCACUUUCAAAUGCCUAAAAGCAAUUAAAAGAAACAUUUUUCCAAU